Hyaena hyaena (striped hyena) is the source of this 140-nucleotide small nucleolar RNA. RefSeq annotates it as small nucleolar RNA SNORA67. The transcript has a single exon. The record is from RefSeq and is a predicted model, not a curated record. Lineage: Eukaryota; Metazoa; Chordata; Mammalia; Carnivora; Hyaenidae.
GUCCAAGGUGAUUCCCUCUCCGAGGGGCCUGCCCGUGCCCUCCUCCGGAAAGUAGCAGCUUGGGACAGGACGUGGCACGCCCGAGGCCGUGGCGGGCGGGGACGCUGGUGUCCUCUGCCUGCCUCCGGCUGCCCACACUU